This 253-nucleotide ribosomal RNA is filed under the name uncultured bacterium. Its description in RNAcentral is "partial 16S ribosomal RNA". It matches the Rfam family "Bacterial small subunit ribosomal RNA", at positions 524 to 776 of the family's 1533-position model. The record is from RNAcentral.
UACGUAGGGGGCUAGCGUUGUCCGGAAUCAUUGGGCGUAAAGCGCGUGUAGGCGGCUCGGUAAGUCCGCUCUGAAAGCCUGGGGCUCAACCCCAGGAGGCGGGUGGAUACUGCCGGGCUCGAGUCCGGAAGAGGUGAGUGGAACUCCGAGUGUAGAGGUGAAAUUCGUAGAUAUUCGGAAGAACACCAGUGGCGAAGGCGGCUCACUGGUCCGGUACUGACGCUGAGGUGCGAAAGCGUGGGGAGCAAACAGG